GACGAACGCUGGCGGCGUGCUUAACACAUGCAUGUCGAACGGAAAGGCCCUGCUUUUGUGGGGUGCUCGAGUGGCGAACGGGUGAGUAACACGUGAGUAACCUGCCCUUGACUUUGGGAUAACUUCAGGAAACUGGGGCUAAUACCGGAUAGGAGCUCCUGCUGCAUGGUGGGGGUUGGAAAGUUUCGGCGGUCGGGGAUGGACGCGCGGCUUAUCAGCUUGUUGGUGGGGGAGUGGCUUACCAAGGCUUUGACGGGUAGCCGGCCUGAGAGGGUGACCGGCCACAUUGGGACUGAGAUACGGCCCAGACUCCUACGGGAGGCAGCAGUGGGGAAUAUUGCACAAUGGGCGGAAGCCUGAUGCAGCAACGCCGCGUGCGGGAUGACGGCCUUCGGGUUGUAAACCGCUUUCGCCUGUGACGAAGCGUGAGUGACGGUAAUGGGUAAAGAAGCACCGGCUAACUACGUG
This 468-nucleotide ribosomal RNA is filed under the name uncultured bacterium. Its description in RNAcentral is "partial 16S ribosomal RNA". It matches the Rfam family "Bacterial small subunit ribosomal RNA", at positions 28 to 507 of the family's 1533-position model. The record is from RNAcentral.